GAUGAAGAACGUAGCGAAAUGCGAUAAGUAAUGUGAAUUGCAGAAUUCAGUGAAUCAUCGAAUCUUUGAACGCACAUUGCGCCCCUUGGUAUUCCGAGGGGCAUGCCUGUUCGAGCGUCAUUAUAACCCCUCAAGCUCAGCUUGGUGUUGGGGCCCGCUGUACUGGCGGCCCCUAAAAUCAGUGGUGGUGCCAUCUGGCUCUAAGCGUAGUAACUCUUCUCGCUACAGGGUCCCGGUGGAUGCUUGCCAUCAACCCCCAACUUUCUAUGGUUGACCUCGGAUCAGGUAGGGAUACCCGCUGAACUUAAGCAUAUCAAUAAGCGGAGGA
This 328-nucleotide unclassified non-coding RNA is filed under the name soil metagenome. RNAcentral's name for it is "partial contains 5.8S ribosomal RNA, internal transcribed spacer 2, and large subunit ribosomal RNA". The stretch from base 1 to 120 matches the Rfam family "5.8S ribosomal RNA", at positions 35 to 154 of the family's 154-position model. The record is from RNAcentral.